RNAcentral lists this long non-coding RNA (425 nucleotides) under Monodelphis domestica (gray short-tailed opossum). Its description in RNAcentral is "lncRNA (ENSMODG00000048081.1)". Lineage: Eukaryota; Metazoa; Chordata; Mammalia; Didelphimorphia; Didelphidae. The record is from RNAcentral.
CACCUUUCAACCUUUAUCUUUUAAACUCGUUAGGUAAAGUAUGUCAUUGCUUCUAAACUGAUGUCCUGCAGGACUUCUCAGCACUAAUGGCUCAAACAGACAUAGAGCAUAAAUAGAGAUGUGAAGUAAAGAUCACCCAGAGGAAUGCCAGAGAGCACACACAUGUCUCGAACAGCUUUGAGUGGUUCAUUUGGUACUCAGGAAAUGACUCUUCAAUUGAUGCUUGGAAAGUAUCAUUAGAAGAAAAUGGAAAGAAAAGAAAAAGAAAAUGGCUUUUGGAAACAUUUAUGUAGACACAACCCUCUGAAAGGUGGGCAAGCCCAUCUUAGAAAAAGUAUGAUCCUACCCUGGUCAUAGUCACUCCUCCACAAUUGACUGGUCAGAAUUGAAGUCUGCUUCUUGUUGCCAUAGAAUCAUGUACUGGU